CAAUAGCGUAUAUUUAAGUUGUUGCAGUUAAAAAGCUCGUAGUCGGAUUUUGGCUGAGAACGAUCGGUCCGCCGUUAGGUGUGCACUGAUUGGUCUCAGCUUCCUGGUGAGGAGGUGUGCUUCACGGCCACUUAGUCACCGUGGUUACUUUGAAAAAAUUAGAGUGUUCAAAGCGGGCUUACGCUUGAAUAUAUUAGCAUGGAAUAACACCAUAGGACUCCUGUCCUAUUUCGUUGGUCUCGGGACGGGAGUAAUGAUUAAGAGGAACAGUUGGGGGCAUUCGUGUUUCAUUGUCAGAGGUGAAAUUCUUGGAUUUAUGAAAGACGAACUUCUGCGAAAGCAUUUGCCAAGGAUGUUUUCAUUGA
RNAcentral lists this ribosomal RNA (365 nucleotides) under uncultured eukaryote. RNAcentral's name for it is "partial 18S ribosomal RNA". It matches the Rfam family "Eukaryotic small subunit ribosomal RNA", at positions 592 to 976 of the family's 1831-position model. The record is from RNAcentral.